CGAGCAUUGAUAACGCGACAACAGGGACAAAGAGAUCCUGUUGGCGGCCUCGGUGGGAAAACCCGUACGAUGGCUCUGGGAAGCGCCGGCCGUGGGCGUCGGUUAUCUCGUUCUCAGUUGACCGUAAAGUACGCUCCGUGAGGACGUUUUGCGGGCACACAGCGAAAAGAACUGGUCGCUUCUCUGCACAGGAAAUCGAGCCCAUGGACGAGAUAGACAGUGGGGAGAGCGCACUGUUUGAGCGUCCUCGCAACGCUGUGCUUCUGGGCUGCUCUGCGGCGUCGAUGUUGGCCACGGCGACUGGCCUGUUCGCCGCUAUUUUCCUGCACCCGGCGUUGGUGUUGGUGCUCGUUUUCGGCAACGCGACGAGCGUGGCGUUGGCGAUGCGCUUCGGCUACCGGGCCUACGAGCCGCCGACGAACAAUGCCAAGGCUUCCGCCUGCAAGACGGUCGUGCCGGUCAUUCAGAUACAUCCGCCUAAUAUGACCACCGAACUGUAGGGCACCAUUCGGCUUCAACAGUGCCUAUGAACGUGCAUGGAGUUCGAGCCCAGCUUUCGGACUCCGCUGAGAACACAGUGUGCUCACUUUCCGAUUACGUGAUCAUCGAGAGUGCGAAAUGGUCGCGUGAACUUUCGUGCCCUGCAAUCGACGCCGUGUAUACACGUUGGCUGAGACACACGUGUCGCCGCUUCGAUUUUAUUUGUGCCGGAGAAUAGUUUGCAUGAUAAACUUCAUUCGCGUUCCUACAAAACGUCACAGUCUACGACGGCAUCGUCAAGGAAAGCACAGGUGAAAGCCUAUGUGCUUUCACGGGGCACUCAUUAAAUUGCUUCGACUUUCCCA
Long non-coding RNA from Rhipicephalus microplus (southern cattle tick), 845 nucleotides. The record is from RefSeq and is a predicted model, not a curated record. NCBI's taxonomy places the organism in Eukaryota, Metazoa, Arthropoda, Arachnida, Ixodida, Ixodidae.